Molecule: ribosomal RNA, 355 nt
Filed under: uncultured bacterium
Lineage: Bacteria
Description: bacterial SSU rRNA
Rfam family: Bacterial small subunit ribosomal RNA
Source: RNAcentral
AGAGUUUGAUCCUGGCUCAGGAUGAACGCUAGCUACAGGCUUAACACAUGCAAGUCGAGGGGCAGCAUGGUCUUAGCUUGCUAAGGCCGAUGGCGACCGGCGCACGGGUGAGUAACACGUAUCCAACCUGCCGUCUACUCUUGGACAGCCUUCCGAAAGGAAGAUUAAUACAAGAUGGCAUCAUGAGUUCACAUGUUCACAUGAUUAAAGGUUUUCCGGUAGACGAUGGGGAUGCGUUCCAUUAGAUAGUAGGCGGGGUAACGGCCCACCUAGUCUUCGAUGGAUAGGGGUUCUGAGAGGAAGGUCCCCCACAUUGGAACUGAGACACGGUCCAAACUCCUACGGGAGGGCAGCA